ACGCACGCUGGCGGCGUGCUUAACACAUGCAAGUCGAACGGAAAGGCCCUGCUUUUGUGGGGUGCUCGAGUGGCGAACGGGUGAGUAACACGUGAGUAACCUGCCCUUGACUUUGGGUUAACUUCAGGAAACUGGGGCUAAUACCGGAUAGGAGCUCCUGCUCCAUGGGGGGGGUUGGAAAGUUUCGGCGGUUGGGGAUGGACUCGCGGCUUAUCAGCUUGUUGGUGGGGUAGUGGCUUACCAAGGCUUUGACGGGUAGCCGGCCUGAGAGGGUGACCGGCCACAUUGGGACUGAGAUACGGCCCAGACUCCUACGGGAGGCAGCAGUGGGGAAUAUUGCACAAUGGGCGGAAGCCUGAUGCAGCAACGCCGCGUGCGGGAUGACGGCCUUCGGGUUGUAAACCGCUUUCGCCUGUGACGAAGCGUGAGUGACGGUAAUGGGUAAAGAAGCACCGGCUAACUACGUG
Molecule: ribosomal RNA, 467 nt
Filed under: uncultured bacterium
Lineage: Bacteria
Description: partial 16S ribosomal RNA
Rfam family: Bacterial small subunit ribosomal RNA
Source: RNAcentral